This 479-nucleotide ribosomal RNA is filed under the name uncultured bacterium. RNAcentral's name for it is "partial 16S ribosomal RNA". It matches the Rfam family "Bacterial small subunit ribosomal RNA", at positions 28 to 507 of the family's 1533-position model. The record is from RNAcentral.
GAUGAACGCUAGCGGGAGGCCUAACACAUGCAAGCCGAGCGGUAUUUGUUCUUCGGAACAGAGAGAGCGGCGCACGGGUGCGGAACACGUGUGCAACCUGCCUUUAUCUGGGGGAUAGCCUUUCGAAAGGAAGAUUAAUACCCCAUAAUAUAUUGAGUGGCAUCAUUUGAUAUUGAAAACUCCGGUGGAUAGAGAUGGGCACGCGCAAGAUUAGAUAGUUGGUGAGGUAACGGCUCACCAAGUCAAUGAUCUUUAGGGGGCCUGAGAGGGUGAUCCCCCACACUGGUACUGAGACACGGACCAGACUCCUACGGGAGGCAGCAGUGAGGAAUAUUGGACAAUGGGUUAGCGCCUGAUCUAGCCAUCCCGCGUGAAGGACGACGGCCCUAUGGGUUGUAAACUUCUUUUGUAUAGGGAUAAACCUACUCUCGUGAGAGUAGCUGAAGGUACUAUACGAAUAAGCACCGGCUAACUCCGUG